ACAUAAUUUGCAUACGAGUCAAUGGCGAUUGAUAAGUGUUCCCACGAUGUAAUAAGCAAAUAAUAUGUCAGUGGCACAUACUAAGGAUUUAACAUAGGAAAAAUGGAAUUAGCUAAAGCAGUUUUCGGGGAUCGUUCACUCGACGGAUACAGCAGCAAGUCAACAGCUGUUGAAACACUAUCCGAGGAUGAAGAAGAUAUUGUCAGCGUAUGUACCGGAGAAGGCAUCAGCAUCACUGCCACGCCCUCUUUCACCGGCAGUGGGGGGUUUAUUCCCUCCCCUGGGGGACACUUCUCAGCACUGACACCUUCCAUGUGGCCUCAAGACAUCAUUCUGAAGUUUGGCAUUGCUCCAGAGGAAGACUCUACGGGACAGUUGGAUUACCGCUAUGAUGAGUUUGGAUUCAAAGUAGAAGAGGAAGAUGGUCCUGAGGAGAACUCCAGUAAGCUUCUUAGUACGCCAUUCGUAGAGGACCCUCAACAUCGACUUAAGUGGACAGCGUACCUCGAGUUCACGCACAACAACGAAGUCGGAGACCUCACGUGGGACAAGGUGGAGUCACAGCUGCCGAGAUCAGAGAAACUAAAGGGCAUGGUGCGGCAAGGCAUCCCCCACUCUCUGCGGCCACAGAUCUGGAUGAGGAUGUCAGGUGCCCUGGAGAAAAAGCUGAAGUCAGAACUUACCUACAAAGAUGUAGUUAAAGCCAGUGCCAAUGAUCAUCUGAUGACAUCAAAACAAAUUGAAAAAGAUCUACUUCGAACAAUGCCAAGCAACACAUGUUUCUGCAACAUCAACAGUACCGGUGUACCUCGACUCCGUCGUAUCCUGCGAGGCCUGGCGUGGUUGUACCCAGACAUCGGAUACUGUCAGGGGACAGGCGUGAUUGCUGCCUCCCUGCUGCUGUUCAUGGAAGAGGAGGACACAUUCUGGAUGAUGUGUGCCAUCAUAGAGGACCUGCUGCCGGCAUCCUACUACUCCAGCACCCUUAUAGGCAUACAGGCUGACCAGCGGGUGUUGAGACAGCUGCUCAUAAGCUACCUGCCGGACGUUGACCUUGUCUUGAAGGAACACGACAUAGAGCUGUCCCUCAUCAGCCUGCACUGGUUCCUCACCCUGUUUGCCAGUGUUGUGCACAUGAAGGUGCUGCUCAGUCUGUGGGACUUGUUCUUUUAUGAGGGGUCAGUGGUACUCUUCCAAAUUACCAUGGGCAUGCUCAAACUGAAGGAGAAUGAGCUGAAGACGCUGGACAACUCCGCCCAGAUCUUCAAUGCCCUGUCUGAUGUACCAGGAGAUGUGCAGGAUGUUGAAGAUCUCAUUGAGGUGGCUUUCCGGACUGCUGGAUCCUUGACUGAUGUCGUGGUGGAGACACACAGGCGGAAACACCUGGCCUACCUGAUGGCUGACCAGGGUGCACUGGUCAACCCAGAGUCAUCCAGGAACCUGCCAAAACAGCAACUGAACAAGCGACACCUAAAACGUUCUCGAUCCCUCGUCUCGGUCCUGCUCAGAGGAGAAUCAGAGGAUGAAGACUUUGGAAAAGCCAAAAACAUUCGCCAAACAGAGUUACUGGUAGACUUGCGGGAAGCCAUCCUCCAGGUUGCUCGUCACUUCCAAUCACUGGACCCCAAAAAUAACAAAGUUAACCUGCAGGCUGACUACACCAUGGACAGCCAUGCCAAGGACCUGGAGAACUAUGUGAACGUGGCCCGCAAUAGGAGGAGGCGGGCCAAGGCACUGCUUGACUUUGAACGUCACGAUGAUGAUGAGCUGGGAUUCAGAAAGAAUGACAUUAUCACAAUCAUUUCCCAGAAGGAUGAACACUGUUGGAUCGGGGAACUGAAUGGUUUGCGAGGAUGGUUCCCGGCCAAGUUUGUGGAGAUUCUGGAUGAGAGGAGUAAGCACUACUCUUCAGCUGGGGAUGACUCUGUGACAGAGGCUGUCACGGAUCUGGUCAGAGGGACGUUAUGUCCAGCGUUGAAAGCAAUAUUUGAACAUGGAUUAAAGAAAUCCAACAUCUUAGGAAGUCAUUGCCAUCCUUGGCUCUUCAUUGAGGAGACAGCUACAAGAGAGGUGGAGAAGGAUUUUCAGAGUGUGUACUCUAGACUGGUGCUCUGCAAGACAUACAGAUUGGAUGAAGAUGGUAAAGUUCUCACCCCAGAAGAAGUGCUUUACAGAGCUGUGCAGGCUGUGAACUUCUCCCAUGAUGCUUGUCACUCACAGAUGGAUGUCAAGUUCCGCUCCCUCAUCUGCUGUGGUCUCAAUGAGCAGGUGCUGCACCUGUGGCUGGAGACUCUCUGCUCUUCCCUGGAUGUAGUGGAGAAGUGGUACUACCCCUGGUCCUUCAUCCGGUCCCCGGGCUGGGUGCAGAUCAAGUGUGAACUAAGAAUUCUGUCCCAGUUACCCUUCAAUAUGUCUGUAGAUCGUGAAUUAAAGCGAGUGCAAGAUCGUGUGGAAACUUCUAUUGUGCAGAGUGCCAGAGAUAUCCUGGUUACUUACCAUCUCUUUAGUUGGGAACUGUGAUGAAGCCUUUGAUUGUGAUCAAUAUAUACGUCCACUCCAGUUGCUCUGCCCUGACCUUGGAUAAUGCAGGUCAAAGUCAGAUCAGGGUCAACUAGUUGAACUUCUUCCAAAGGGUUACAACAAGUUCUUGUCUGUCCAUUGUGCCUGCUGUAACUGCUGCUAUCUUCAUAUAUGUGAUCAUCAUUCCUGCUGUUGAUACAACCAGUAGCUGUCCUCAAUCCCUGGUUACUCCUGGUCAAGGCUGGUGAAGGCUUGGGCGGAAUCUUGGCUCACUAUUCCUUUACCUUAUCCCAAGACUGGGAGCUACUUCGCAAACCAGCCCCAGCAAGUUUGAAAGAAGGAGUGCGAGACAUGUUGAUAAAGCACCAUCUGUUUAGCUGGGACUUAUGAUGUGCU
Molecule: unclassified non-coding RNA, 2916 nt
Filed under: Haliotis rufescens (red abalone)
Lineage: Eukaryota; Metazoa; Mollusca; Gastropoda; Lepetellida; Haliotidae
Description: small G protein signaling modulator 3-like, transcript variant X1
Source: RNAcentral